RNAcentral lists this small nucleolar RNA (139 nucleotides) under Dichanthelium oligosanthes. RNAcentral's name for it is "Small nucleolar RNA Z247". It matches the Rfam family "Small nucleolar RNA Z247". Rfam says of the family: Z247 is a member of the C/D class of snoRNA which contain the C (UGAUGA) and D (CUGA) box motifs. Lineage: Eukaryota; Viridiplantae; Streptophyta; Magnoliopsida; Poales; Poaceae. The record is from Rfam by way of RNAcentral.
AGGCUUGAAGAUGAUGAGCUCAUCACAUAUCUGUUACAAGGGCUCGGGAUGGAGUAUGACUCCCUGAUCACCAGCCUCACAACAAGCACAGAUCCGUUGUCCGUCAAUGACGUGUAUGCGCAUAUGCUCAGCUACGAGC